UCGAGUGCGCGCUUGUAGCAAUACAAGUGGCGCACGGCGCACGGGUGCGUAACACGUGGGUAACCUGCCCUUUGGUGGGGAAUAACCUCGCGAAAGCGAGGCUAAUUCCGCAUAAGAUCCGCAAGGAUGAAAGCCGCAAGGCGCCGAAGGAGGGGCCCGCGCACGAUUAGUUAGUUGGUACGGUAACGGCCUACCAAGACUAUGAUCGUUAGCUGGUCUGAGAGGAUGGCCAGCCACACUGGAACUGAUACACGGUCCAGACUCCUACGGGAGGCAGCAGUGGGGAAUCUUGCGCAAUGGGCGAAAGCCUGACGCAG
This 317-nucleotide ribosomal RNA is filed under the name uncultured bacterium. RNAcentral describes it as "bacterial SSU rRNA". It matches the Rfam family "Bacterial small subunit ribosomal RNA", at positions 62 to 391 of the family's 1533-position model. The record is from RNAcentral.